This is a long non-coding RNA of Capsicum annuum, 1750 nucleotides long. RefSeq lists it as uncharacterized. The transcript is spliced from 4 exons. NCBI's taxonomy places the organism in Eukaryota, Viridiplantae, Streptophyta, Magnoliopsida, Solanales, Solanaceae. The record is from RefSeq and is a predicted model, not a curated record.
AACUUUUGAAAUAAGGGUGACAAAGGUAUAAUUUAUAGGGGAUACAUUCUACUAGUACUGAAGAACGAUCCCACGGCCUGAAUAAUAUCAUCCCAUGUCACAAAUAAUGACUACUAAAAAACAAAGAGAAUUGGACAAUUUCCUCCCUAGACACUAAUUUAAUGAAAUGCAAUUGUUGUUUUCUAUUCAGCUCUGGGUCAUCUUUCAUAAUUCUAGUGUUAACACUAGGCCAUUGUUCAGAUGCUUUAUCCAGUAGUCCCUUAUAGAAGCCAAGUAUCUCUUUUUCAAUUGCUUUCUGAGAAAAAACAGUGAUAUCAUCUGCAGCAGUGAAGCUCAAAGUAGUGCUUAGCAGAAUUAUAUUCUUCAUAUGAGCAAAAAAAGGAAGUGUUUCCAUCCCAAAGCUUUAACCAUUUUACCCUUGAUUAUUGUUGUAUUGCACCCUCUUCAACGAGACUACUUCACUUCUCUAAUUGAGCUUUGAGUUCUCUUUCUAAAACACAAUGAUUAUGAACUUGGUCAAAAUCUCUCUGUGUAUCCUAGACAUCUUGCAAAUUCAUUGUAAGAUCUUGCAUUUUAUCCGUUACACCUUUGAAUUCUCUAAUGUUGAGCUACUUCAUUUCAACCUUCACCUUGCUAGACUGUCUUCAUAAUACCAUUUUAUCUUGUACUAAACCAUCCAUUUUUGACUCUGUGCAAGAAAUCAGGGUGUGAAGCUAAGCGAUUGAAGAACUUGAAAGACUUGUGAUAAGAAGCAGGAUCCAUCACUAACCUCCACCCGGGGCAUAGUCAGCAUCCAAACUGCAUUUGUUAUUGCCUUAUCCAUCUUGCUAUAGACCUAUUCAUUGGACCAGAACGUGCACCCGUACAUCAUCCCUAAAAUUCAUGAGAUGAAGAUGAAUUACAUGGUUACGUUUAUGCCAUAUACGGACGAGGUGUUGAGCCUCUUAUACAUGUACUAUGGGAUGAAAUAAGCUUAAGACUAAUACGGGGUAUUACACUAUGCUCGAGAAAGUCGUGUUGAAUGUUGCUGCCAAUAUCAAAGAAAAAAGACUAAAGAAAAAAAAAGGAUGAGCAUAAACAUAAGCGAGGUAACUUCUUUUAAUAAUUAAUGUAGUAAAUGAAUUUUCAACUGUAACUAUUGGUAACACUUUAUAAUAUGAUACAAUACAUGUUGGACCAUCAUGAAGCAUAGAGGAACGAAGAGGAAUAAAAAAGGAUUAAAAUGAAUGAGUUGGCCACUGUUGUGGUAGAAGAGAAAAAAAGAAAAGCAGGAUGCAGAAGAAGAUAAGAGUGAAGAAGAAACUGAAAAAGAAGCAGCAACAGAUAAAGAAGAGGAAGGUGAGAAAGAAGCAGUAGGUGAACAAGAAGAAGAAAAGAAAGUUGAGAAAGAAGCAACAACAAAAGUUAAAAAACGAGAAGAAGGUGAGAAAGAAGAAACUAGAAAAUAUGUUGAAGAAUUAGUCAAAACUUCUGAAGAAGGAAAGGAAGAAGCAGCAGACAAAUAAAAAGAAGACAAAAAAUUAAAGAACAGAAAGAAGAAAAAGAAAAAGCAGGGGAAAAAGUUGUGGUCAUGGAUAUUGUUGAUUUCAUCAACGAUAACAUUUGUGAUGAUGAAGAAAAAGAUAUUUGAAUACAGAUAUUUUUAUUGUUUAAGACUUUUUUUUUUAUUUGAGAAACAAUGGAUUUGAAUGAUCGUUGGAUGAUAUGUCAAAUAUUUUUUUAUUUUAUAAAAGUUGUUAGAAUUUUGCAC